AAAGAUUGAGAGUAUUGACUCUCUGAAAAAUCUGGAAGAAAUCAUUCGUGCAUCAGACGGGGCCAUGGUUGCUAGAGGAGAUCUGGGUGCUCAAAUUCCACUGGAACAGGUCCCUUCAGCCCAACAAAAGAUUGUGAAAACAUGCAGGCAGCUCAACAAGCCGGUUAUCGUGGCUUCUCAACUCCUUGAAUCUAUGAUUGAGUAUCCCACACCUACCCGUGCUGAAGUUGCUGACGUUUCAGAAGCAGUUCGUCAGCGGGCAGAUGCCCUAAUGCUUUCAGGCGAGUCAGCCAUGGGCCAGUUUCCAGAUAAAGCACUGAGUGUCCUGCGAACCGUGAGCCUCAGGAUUGAAAAGUGGUGGAGGGAGGAGAAGCGCCAUGAAGGCAUGGAGCUCCCAGAUAUUGCAUCUUCUUUCUCAGACAAAAUCUCAGAGGAGAUAUGCAAUUCAGCCGCGAAAAUGGCUAAUAAUUUGGGAGUGGAUGCUGUGUUUGUCUACACGAAGAGUGGUCACAUGGCCUCGAUCCUUUCGCGUUGCCGCCCUGACUGCCCGAUCUUUGCAUUCACUACCUCGACGUCUGUGAGGCGACGGCUGAAUCUCCAGUGGGG
Molecule: unclassified non-coding RNA, 606 nt
Filed under: Hevea brasiliensis (rubber tree)
Lineage: Eukaryota; Viridiplantae; Streptophyta; Magnoliopsida; Malpighiales; Euphorbiaceae
Source: RNAcentral